UUGAAAGGGAAACGAUUGAAGUCAGUCGUGCUGGCGCGAAAUCAACCUUCUCGUCUUGAGAUCACAUGGCGUGGCGAGCCUCAAAACCGUCACGAAGCGUGAACUCUUGGUGAAAUGGAGCACUUUCGUGUCCGCUGGUUAACAUCAAUUUCGAACGUCAUAAAAAGGCUGGAGGGAUGUGGCUCCUUCGGGAGUGUUAUAACCUUUAGCGGAAUGUGGUGUUCGGGAUUGAGGAUUGCAACGAAUACCUUUAGGGCUGUUCCACCUGGCUUCUCUUUGGUAUCCUGGUGACGACAGCUUGCUGACGUUGUUAGGAUUCGCCUUUGAACAGGUUAGAGUGUGAGCAAAUCGUUAAGGAUGUUGACGUA
This 368-nucleotide ribosomal RNA is filed under the name uncultured Glomeromycotina. Its description in RNAcentral is "LSU rRNA". The record is from RNAcentral. Lineage: Eukaryota; Fungi; Glomeromycota.